Molecule: non-coding RNA, 434 nt
Organism: Camellia sinensis
Lineage: Eukaryota; Viridiplantae; Streptophyta; Magnoliopsida; Ericales; Theaceae
Source: RefSeq, a predicted model, not a curated record
UUGCUGCUGCACAUUGUUAGCCAUCUUUAUAUUGGAUGCUAGGAACAUGGAUUGUUUGCCAUCUUUAUAUUGGAUGCUAGGAACUUGGAUGGGAUGGCCUGGACAGCAAUAUCAGCUUUUUCCAUGGGAUCUUUUCUGAACAAGUCUAGGAAGGAAGCUACAAAAAAGGCCCAAGAAGAGGCUUCUGAGCAUGUGAGAUGUCUAGAAGAAGAUUUGGGAAAGUUGAGUACAAGUUUUUUGUUGAUGGAGAAUGGCGGCAUGAUGAGCACCAACCAUUUGUAAGUGGAAAUUAUGGGGUGGUGAACAGUGUCUUCUUAGCUAGGGAGCCUGAUGGGUAGAUCUAGUAUGGAUGUGGAUAAUGAUCCAUUUUUUCAUUUUUUGGAAGCAAAUUAUCUUACAAAAGCUUUUGUAAUACAAGUUGGUCUAGUUGAUAA